UAGCUAGUUGGUGGGGUAAGGGCCUACCAAGGCGACGAUCGGUAGCUGGUCUGAGAGGAUGACCAGCCACACUGGAACUGAGACACGGUCCAGACUCCUACGGGAGGCAGCAGUGGGGAAUAUUGGACAAUGGGGAAACCCUGAUCCAGCAAUGCCGCGUGUGUGAAGAAGGCCUGAGGGUUGUAAAGCACUUUCAGUGGGGAGGAGGUAUAUUUGGUUAAGAGCUGGAUGUAUGGACGUUACCCACAGAAGAAGCACCGGCUAACUCCGUGCCAGCAGCCGCGGUAAUACGGAGGGUGCGAGCGUUAAUCGGAAUUACUGGGCGUAAAGAGUGCGUAGGUGGUUGAAUAAGUUAUCUGUGAAAUCCCUGGGCUUAACCUGGGCAGGUCAGCUAAUACUGUUUAACUCGAGUAUGGGAGAGGGUAGUGGAAUUUCCGGUGUAGCGGUGAAAUGCGUAGAGAUCGGAAGGAACACCAGUGGCGAAGGCGGCUACCUGGCCUAAUACUGACACUGAGGCACGAAAGCGUGGGGAGCAAACAGGAUUAGAUACCCUGGUAGUCCACGCUGUAAACGAUGUCAACUAGCUGUUGGUUAUAUGAAAAUAAUUAGUGGCGC
RNAcentral lists this ribosomal RNA (615 nucleotides) under uncultured Legionella sp. RNAcentral's name for it is "bacterial SSU rRNA". It matches the Rfam family "Bacterial small subunit ribosomal RNA", at positions 242 to 849 of the family's 1533-position model. The record is from RNAcentral. Lineage: Bacteria; Pseudomonadati; Pseudomonadota; Gammaproteobacteria; Legionellales; Legionellaceae.